UCUUGGUCAUUUAGAGGAAGUAAAAGUCGUAACAAGGUUUCCGUAGGUGAACCUGCGGAAGGAUCAUUAUCGAAAUUAUUGGUGAGGGUUGUAGCUGGCCUUUCGAGGCAUGUGCACGCUCGAGCCCUUAAUCCACUUUACACCUGUGCACUUAAUGUAGGUCGCCCUUAAAAAAGGUGACCUAUGUCUUAUCAUCAACCCAUCGUAUGUCUCAUAGAAUGUAAUCGAUAUCCUCGCCCUAAAAAAGCGUUGAUAAACUUAUACAACUUUCAACAACGGAUCUCUUGGCUCUCGCAUCGAUGAAGAACGCAGCGAAAUGCGAUAAGUAAUGUGAAUUGCAGAUUUUCAGUGAAUCAUCGAAUCUUUGAACGCACCUUGCGCUCCUUGGUAUUCCGAGGAGCAUGCCUGUUUGAGUGUCAUUAAAUUCUCAACUCCAAGGGUUUCACGACCUUUCGGAGAUUGGACUUGGAGGUGCUGGCCGCAUAUUGGUCGGCUCCUCUCAAAUGCAUCAGCGGAAUUCAACCUUUGGCUUCCGGAUGUCAGUGUGAUAAUCAUGUUGCGCUGUCGUUUGAUCCCUCAGAGUCCGCUUAUAAUGGUCUUCGGACAAAAUCAUCAUCAAAUUUGACCUCAAAUCAGGUAGGACUACCCGCUGAACUUAAGCAUAUCAAUAAGCGGAGGA
Molecule: ribosomal RNA, 679 nt
Filed under: uncultured Atheliaceae
Lineage: Eukaryota; Fungi; Basidiomycota; Agaricomycetes; Atheliales; Atheliaceae
Description: eukaryotic LSU rRNA
Rfam family: 5.8S ribosomal RNA (bases 265-419)
Source: RNAcentral